CCGAAAGGGCGAACCGGGAGGGGAGGAAAGUCCGGGCAACGCAGGGCGCCGCACUGGUGAAACUGCCAGCCGGACGUAAGUUCGUGCAUCCGUAACAGAGAAUAACCGCCGCAACCGCGCGUUUCCUUUCGGGGAAACCGGCCAGGCAAGGGUGAAAAGGUGGGGUAAGAGCCCACCGGUGCCGGUGGCGACAUCGGCAGCCGUACGGACUGCGGGUUGCAAGACCAUGUACACCGAUGCUGUUCCGUACCGGGAUUCCGAUCCGGGUACGGCACUGAAGGGCGGCCCGUCCGAGUCGGGGGGUAGGUUGCUGACGAUCCGGCGGGAGACCGCCGGGCUGGAUAAAUGGCAGAGGCUUUUCCGAAAAAGACAGGGUAUCGCUUUGCGCGGUCCGUCCCGGCCGGAAAAGUACAGAACCCGGCUUAUACCCCUUG
This 434-nucleotide RNase P RNA is filed under the name Rikenella microfusus. RNAcentral describes it as "Bacterial RNase P class A". It matches the Rfam family "Bacterial RNase P class A". Rfam says of the family: Ribonuclease P (RNase P) is a ubiquitous endoribonuclease, found in archaea, bacteria and eukarya as well as chloroplasts and mitochondria. The record is from RNAcentral. Lineage: Bacteria; Pseudomonadati; Bacteroidota; Bacteroidia; Bacteroidales; Rikenellaceae.